UACGUAGGGUGCAAGCGUUAAUCGGAAUUACUGGGCGUAAAGCGUGCGCAGGCGGUGAUGUAAGACAGAUGUGAAAGCCCCGGGCUUAACCUGGGAAUGGCAGUGGAAACUGGGGGACUUGAAUUGAGCAGAGGGGGGUGGAAUGCCGCGUGUAGCAGUGAAAUGCGUAGAGAUGCGGCGGAACACCGAUGGCGAAGGCAGCCCCCUGGGCUUAAAUUGACGCUGAGGCACGAAAGCGUGGGGAGCAAACAGG
RNAcentral lists this ribosomal RNA (253 nucleotides) under uncultured bacterium. Its description in RNAcentral is "partial 16S ribosomal RNA". It matches the Rfam family "Bacterial small subunit ribosomal RNA", at positions 524 to 776 of the family's 1533-position model. The record is from RNAcentral.